UUAGUAAUCUAACUCAAGAUGAACUUAGCUCUGUGGGAUAUUGACACCUGACACAGUCAGUAAACAAAAAUGCAGGUGCCUUGGUUUUGAACUGAAUUCUAUCCUGUUUUUACUUCACUGUCUUGGAAUUCUUUGUUUUUGUUUUCUUUAUUGAUGUUUUUCUUUUUCUUCUUCUUUCUCUUUUUUUUUUUUUCUUUUUUUUUAAUGUU
Molecule: long non-coding RNA, 209 nt
Organism: Oxyura jamaicensis (ruddy duck)
Lineage: Eukaryota; Metazoa; Chordata; Aves; Anseriformes; Anatidae
Exons: 3
Source: RefSeq, a predicted model, not a curated record